RNAcentral lists this ribosomal RNA (448 nucleotides) under uncultured bacterium. RNAcentral describes it as "bacterial SSU rRNA". It matches the Rfam family "Bacterial small subunit ribosomal RNA", at positions 330 to 792 of the family's 1533-position model. The record is from RNAcentral.
CCCAGACUCCUACGGGAGGCAGCAGUGGGGAAUAUUGGACAAUGGGGGGAACCCUGAUCCAGCGACGCCGCGUGAGUGAAGAAGUAUUUCGGUAUGUAAAGCUCUAUCAGCAGGGAAGAAAGAAAUGACGGUACCUGACUAAGAAGCCCCGGCUAACUACGUGCCAGCAGCCGCGGUAAUACGUAGGGGGCAAGCGUUAUCCGGAUUUACUGGGUGUAAAGGGAGCGUAGACGGCUAUGCAAGUCUGGAGUGGAAGGCGGGGGCCCAACCCCCGGACUGCUCUGGAAACUGUAGAGCUAGAGUGCAGGAGAGGUAAGUGGAAUUCCUAGUGUAGCGGUGAAAUGCGUAGAUAUUAGGAGGAACACCAGUGGCGAAGGCGGCUUACUGGACUGUAACUGACGUUGAGGCUCGAAAGCGUGGGGAGCAAACAGGAUUAGAUACCCGAGUA